UAGAAUUAAACUUAAAUAUUUCUUACGGAGUCUAUUAAUGUAAAUUCCAUUGAGAACCGACGAGAAUCGCGCAACAGUCUCUGGAGUUAGAGCUCUUCGUUAACUGUUGACUAAGAUGGCGGCACAUGGGAUCUGAUGCCAAGGAGUCCGUACAAUUUGGUGGUGGUUCUCUGUGAAGGUAAAAAAGGAAGCUCCUACAGUUGGAUUGAUAGGACGAUUUACAGCAUUCUCGAUAUAUCUUCUCACAAUACUCGUCUUUCCGACACCUAAACGAAAAUAAACGUUUAUUUUCCCAUCAUGUUUUCAAUGUUAAACUAUAUAUGAAUUAGAGAUCUACACGCAUAAAUUUUAUUCGUGUAGAUUUCGAUACACACAGUGCCACGUUAUACGAGUUUCGAAACUAACCUAUAAAAAGAUGAUCGAAGUAAUAAGAAAGAAAGAUUUUAAUAAAAAUCAUUCGAGUUUUACGAGAAUAUAUAAAAAUCAUAUAUUUAAAUACGGAACGAUGAGAAAAUUAUAUUUACCAGUGUGCACACGUACCCAUUGAUAUCAUUAAAUUAUUCUUAAGUGAUGUAAUUGGUAAUAAAAACAUCGAAGACUUGUAUUA
Long non-coding RNA from Vespula pensylvanica (western yellowjacket), 607 nucleotides. RefSeq lists it as uncharacterized. The transcript is spliced from 3 exons. Lineage: Eukaryota; Metazoa; Arthropoda; Insecta; Hymenoptera; Vespidae. The record is from RefSeq and is a predicted model, not a curated record.